Molecule: ribosomal RNA, 429 nt
Filed under: Bacillota bacterium
Lineage: Bacteria; Bacillati; Bacillota
Description: Firmicutes bacterium partial 16S ribosomal RNA
Rfam family: Bacterial small subunit ribosomal RNA
Source: RNAcentral
UAGGGAAUCUUCGGCAAUGGACGGAAGUCUGACCGAGCAACGCCGCGUGAGUGAAGAAGGUUUUCGGAUCGUAAAGCUCUGUUGUUAGAGAAGAACGUUGGUAGGAGUGGAAAAUCUACCAAGUGACGGUAACUAACCAGAAAGGGACGGCUAACUACGUGCCAGCAGCCGCGGUAAUACGUAGGUCCCGAGCGUUGUCCGGAUUUAUUGGGCGUAAAGCGAGCGCAGGCGGUUGUUUAAGUCUGAAGUUAAAGGCAGUGGCUUAACCAUUGUACGCUUUGGAAACUGGAGGACUUGAGUGCAGAAGGGGAGAGUGGAAUUCCAUGUGUAGCGGUGAAAUGCGUAGAUAUAUGGAGGAACACCGGUGGCGAAAGCGGCUCUCUGGUCAGUAACUGACGCUGAGGCUCGAAAGCGUGGGGAGCAAACAGG